CCUACGGGGGGCACCAGUGGGGAAUAUUGCACAAUGGGCGCAAGCCUGAUGCAGCCAUGCCGCGUGUAUGAAGAAGGCCUUCGGGUUGUAAAGUACUUUCAGCGGGGAGGAAGGUGUUGUGGUUAAUAACCACAGCAAUUGACGUUACCCGCAGAAGAAGCACCGGCUAACUCCGUGCCAGCAGCCGCGGUAAUACGGAGGGUGCAAGCGUUAAUCGGAAUUACUGGGCGUAAAGCGCACGCAGGCGGUCUGUCAAGUCGGAUGUGAAAUCCCCGGGCUCAACCUGGGAACUGCAUUCGAAACUGGCAGGCUAGAGUCUUGUAGAGAGGGGUAGAAUUCCAGGUGUAGCGGUGAAAUGCGUAGAGAUCUGGAGGAAUACCGGUGGCGAAGGCGGCCCCCUGGACAAAGACUGACGCUCAGGUGCGAAAGCGUGGGGAGCAAACAGGAUUAGAUACCCCAGUAGUC
RNAcentral lists this ribosomal RNA (465 nucleotides) under uncultured bacterium. RNAcentral describes it as "bacterial SSU rRNA". It matches the Rfam family "Bacterial small subunit ribosomal RNA", at positions 338 to 795 of the family's 1533-position model. The record is from RNAcentral.